Molecule: non-coding RNA, 681 nt
Organism: Pelobates cultripes (western spadefoot toad)
Lineage: Eukaryota; Metazoa; Chordata; Amphibia; Anura; Pelobatidae
Source: the annotation of a GenBank genome assembly
CACAGAGGGUCAGUUAUAUGAUAAUAAAUAGAGGUUAGAGGCACAGAGGGUCAGUUAUAUGAUAAUAAAUAGAGGUUAGUGGCAGAGAGGGUCAGUUAUAUGAUAAUAAAUAGAGGUUAGAGGCACAGAGGGUCAGUUAUAUGAUAAUAAAUAGAGGUUAGUGGCACAGAGGGUCAGUUAUAUGAUAAUAAAUAGAGGUUAGUGGCACAGAGGGUCAGUUAUAUGAUAAUAAAUAGAGGUUAGCGGCAGAGAGGGUCAGUUAUAUGAUAAAUAGAGGUUAGUGGCACAGAGGGUCAGUUAUAUGAUAAUAAAUAGAGGUUAGUGGCACAGAGGGUCAGUAAUAGGAUAAUAAAUAGAGGUUAGUGAUCACAGAGGGUCAGUUAUAUGAUAAUAAAUAGAGGUUAGCGGCAGAGAGGGUCAGUUAUAUGAUAAUAAAUAGAGGUUAGCGGCACAAAGGGUCAGUUAUAUGAUAAUAAAUAGAGGUUAGCGGCAGAGAGGGUCAGUUAUAUGAUAAUAAAUAGAGGUUAGUGAUCACAGAGGGUCAGUUAUAUGAUAAUAAAUAGAGGUUAGCGGCAGAGAGGGUCAGUUAUAUGAUAAUAAAUAGAGGUUAGUGAUCACAGAGGGUCAGUUAUAUGAUAAUAAAUAGAGGUUAGCGGCACAGAGGGUCAGUUAUAUGAUAAU